AUAGUGGAAGCGGCGACAGGUGCCCCGAAUGGGGAGAAUAGGGAAUCAGGUGAAAAUCCUGAGCGGUCCCGCCACUGUGAGCAGGGACGAACCCGAAAAAGCCACUGGGCUGGUCCACCAGUCUGGGAAGGUUCGGGGGAGGAUGACUGCGAGCCAGGAGACCUGCCUGUCGGCCUGAUUACUG
This 184-nucleotide non-coding RNA is filed under the name Thermoanaerobacterales bacterium. Lineage: Bacteria; Bacillati; Bacillota; Clostridia; Thermoanaerobacterales. The record is from RNAcentral.